GGGGUCGACCAGGUAUCGAUUAGAGCAGUAAGGUUUAGUUGCAUGUAGGCUUGAACAACCUUUAAUAAGUUCGCAAAUUUUUAAACGCAAAUAAUACAAAUUAUUCUCCUGCUGUAGCUCACGCUGCAUAGAUAGAAGACUCCCCUUAAUUGGGUAGAGACUUCGGAGGUUUCUACUAUAUUGAUUCUAUCUAAAUAUAGAACAUUAGAGACUCAACCCCUAGAUAGAUUAUUUAUCUGGAACUGAUUUGUACAGAUAAAGACAAUUUAAAAUCUUAGCUUUAGUUUAGCCUUGGAGGCGUGAGCUAAACAAAAGUGAAAUUUGAUCAACCUUAUCUAAGCAUGUAGACGCUAAACUGAGUUGUUUUAAGACUGGAGUUCGAUUCUCCACGGCUCCACCA
This 400-nucleotide transfer-messenger RNA is filed under the name Arcobacter sp. It matches the Rfam family "transfer-messenger RNA". Rfam says of the family: Bacterial tmRNA, also known as 10Sa RNA or SsrA, is named for its dual tRNA and mRNA-like properties. Its role is to liberate the mRNA from a stalled ribosome. RNAcentral also lists the same sequence under 2 other names. Lineage: Bacteria; Pseudomonadati; Campylobacterota; Epsilonproteobacteria; Campylobacterales; Arcobacteraceae. The record is from RNAcentral.